AGAGUUUGAUCCUGGCUCAGAUUGAACGCUGGCGGCAGGCCUAACACAUGCAAGUCGAGCGGCAGCGGGAAAGUAGCUUGCUACUUUUGCCGGCGAGCGGCGGACGGGUGAGUAAUGCCUGGGAAAUUGCCCAGUCGAGGGGGAUAACAGUUGGAAACGACUGCUAAUACCGCAUACGCCCUACGGGGGAAAGCAGGGGACCUUCGGGCCUUGCGCGAUUGGAUAUGCCCAGGUGGGAUUAGCUAGUUGGUGAGGUAAUGGCUCACCAAGGCGACGAUCCCUAGCUGGUCUGAGAGGAUGAUCAGCCACACUGGAACUGAGACACGGUCCAGACUCCUACGGGAGGCAGCAGUGGGGAAUAUUGCACAAUGGGGGAAACCCUGAUGCAGCCAUGCCGCGUGUGUGAAGAAGGCCUUCGGGUUGUAAAGCACUUUCAGCGAGGAGGAAAGGUUGAUGCCUAAUACGUAUCAACUGUGACGUUACUCGCAGAAGAAGCACCGGCUAACUCCGUGCCAGCAGCCGCGGUAAU
RNAcentral lists this ribosomal RNA (529 nucleotides) under Aeromonas sp. Tf 230. Its description in RNAcentral is "bacterial SSU rRNA". It matches the Rfam family "Bacterial small subunit ribosomal RNA", at positions 8 to 524 of the family's 1533-position model. Lineage: Bacteria; Pseudomonadati; Pseudomonadota; Gammaproteobacteria; Aeromonadales; Aeromonadaceae. RNAcentral also lists the same sequence under 1 other name. The record is from RNAcentral.